CAGCAAAUAAAAAGGAAACAACAGCAAACAUUAGAAAGAGGUUGAAGAAAACAGAAAACCAGAGUAGGGACAGAAGGUCUUCUUCACCUAAGCUCUUUGUGAAUACAUUAGCAUCUCUGGCUGAAUGAGUACCUAGCAGCAACCUCACAAUAUAUCUAAGGUAAAACAGAAAACAUAAAAAAGGUACUUUUGAAUGCUAAGUCAACAAUGCUGUUCAAAUAGAUGGGAUGUCAGUAAUUGCACCUAAAAAUACUAUUCACUAUGUUAUUUCUCCUUAAAAGGUAGUAUGUGUCAAAAUGAAAGCUGCUGACUUUGGCUUAGACUUCUACCACUCAUCAAGGGCAGCAUGGAACCUGACAUAGGAAUCAACACAGACCUCAAAAGCACCGAAAAGGGCAAGAGAGCUUCACAGCUGCUCUACGAUAAACUCUCUAC
Long non-coding RNA from Herpailurus yagouaroundi (jaguarundi), 435 nucleotides. RefSeq lists it as uncharacterized. Lineage: Eukaryota; Metazoa; Chordata; Mammalia; Carnivora; Felidae. The transcript is spliced from 3 exons. The record is from RefSeq and is a predicted model, not a curated record.